CCGUGGCUCAGCCGGUAGAGCAGCUGAUUCGUAAUCAGCAGGUCGUCGGUUCGAAUCCGACCGG
RNAcentral lists this transfer RNA (64 nucleotides) under bovine gut metagenome. It matches the Rfam family "tRNA", at positions 5 to 66 of the family's 71-position model. From Rfam's summary of the family: Transfer RNA (tRNA) molecules are approximately 80 nucleotides in length. Their secondary structure includes four short double-helical elements and three loops (D, anti-codon, and T loops). Further hydrogen bonds mediate the characteristic L-shaped molecular structure. tRNAs have two regions of fundamental functional importance: the anti-codon, which is responsible for specific mRNA codon recognition, and the 3' end, to which the tRNAs corresponding amino acid is attached (by aminoacyl-tRNA synthetases). tRNAs cope with the degeneracy of the genetic code in two manners: having more than one tRNA (with a specific anti-codon) for a particular amino acid; and 'wobble' base-pairing, i.e. permitting non-standard base-pairing at the 3rd anti-codon position. The record is from RNAcentral. RNAcentral also lists the same sequence under 1 other name.